This 1466-nucleotide ribosomal RNA is filed under the name uncultured bacterium. Its description in RNAcentral is "bacterial SSU rRNA". It matches the Rfam family "Bacterial small subunit ribosomal RNA". The record is from RNAcentral.
GGCGGCAGGCCUAACACAUGCAAGUCGAACGGUAACAUUUCUAGCUUGCUAGAAGAUGACGAGUGGCGGACGGGUGAGUAAUGCUUGGGAACUUGCCUUUGCGAGGGGGAUAACAGUUGGAAACGACUGCUAAUACCGCAUAAUGUCUUCGGACCAAACGGGGCUUCGGCUCCGGCGCAAAGAGAGGCCCAAGUGAGAUUAGCUAGUUGGUAAGGUAACGGCUUACCAAGGCGACGAUCUCUAGCUGUUCUGAGAGGAAGAUCAGCCACACUGGGACUGAGACACGGCCCAGACUCCUACGGGAGGCAGCAGUGGGGAAUAUUGCACAAUGGGGGGAACCCUGAUGCAGCCAUGCCGCGUGUGUGAAGAAGGCCUUCGGGUUGUAAAGCACUUUCAGUUGUGAGGAAAAGUUAGUAGUUAAUACCUGCUAGCCGUGACGUUAACAACAGAAGAAGCACCGGCUAACUCCGUGCCAGCAGCCGCGGUAAUACGGAGGGUGCGAGCGUUAAUCGGAAUUACUGGGCGUAAAGCGCACGCAGGCGGUUUGUUAAGCUAGAUGUGAAAGCCCCGGGCUCAACCUGGGAUGGUCAUUUAGAACUGGCAGACUAGAGUCUUGGAGAGGGGAGUGGAAUUCCAGGUGUAGCGGUGAAAUGCGUAGAUAUCUGGAGGAACAUCAGUGGCGAAGGCGACUCCCUGGCCAAAGACUGACGCUCAUGUGCGAAAGUGUGGGUAGCGAACAGGAUUAGAUACCCUGGUAGUCCACACCGUAAACGCUGUCUACUAGCUGUGUGUGCCUUUUAGGCGUGCGUAGCGAAGCUAACGCGCUAAGUAGACCGCCUGGGGAGUACGGCCGCAAGGUUAAAACUCAAAUGAAUUGACGGGGGCCCGCACAAGCGGUGGAGCAUGUGGUUUAUUCGAUGCAGAAAGUAAGAACAUUGCUUGCACCGUCAGUGAUGAGAAGUUAGUAGAGCAUAGUAUUGAGCCGUCGGGUAUUCAGACGCUAGGUGUCUGCAUGGGCGUGGUAAGCUCUGUGUAAGUGUGAUGCUGGGUUGAGUGUGGUAACGAGCGCGAACGCUGUCUUUAGUCGCGAGCCAUGAGUGGGUCAGUGUUAGGAGCAUUGUGGAGUCUUACCGGAGGAAGGCGGGGGUGGGGGUAAGUCAUGAGGGUCAGUACCAGUAGGGCUGCUCUUGCUCUCCAAUCACAUAGACAUAGUGAAGUGAGUCAGCGAUGUGGAGCGGACCCAGUUAAUAUCGUUGUAGUCUGGAUUGGAGUCGGAAACUAGACUCCAUGAGGUCGGAAUACAUAGUAAUGGCAGGUCAGUCGUUUGCGGCGAUUAUCGUUCCUCGGACAGUGUACGCUCCCAACCGUCACUCCACGGUAGUGGCACUCAUAAUAAGUCCUUAAACGAGCAAUGGGGAGGUUGAUUACCAAUUGUGGGCCCCCAGGGUGGGGAAGUAGUAACAAGG